Cyprinus carpio carpio is the source of this 2260-nucleotide long non-coding RNA. Lineage: Eukaryota; Metazoa; Chordata; Actinopteri; Cypriniformes; Cyprinidae. The record is from Ensembl.
GGGAGGUAGUGCAGAGUUGGAUAGAAGGAAAAAAGAAGAGGCAAGAGACAAAAAAAAAAGAGGCAUGGCAGCGUAAAGCUUGGAUUUUAUUUAUAACUACUACAGUGCAAUGAAGAUUGAAGGAGAGGCACAGGUGUGGCAAUGAUGCAGUGGUCUUCAGAGUGGGCGGAGCAACGAUAUGACGUCUCUUCUACCACAUCAUCUCCAGUACACCCUAAGCCCCUCCCAUUGCCACAGCCCAGUCGUCCUGCGUUCUCAGGCUACACUGACGACAUCAGUGCCCUCAGUGCCUCUAGCUUGCUAAAACGCUAUGCCGAGAGGUAUUCCUUCAACUCGUCCUUACCAGAACAUGGGAGUUUCCUGAGAAGUGAGCAGCACCAGGAGCCAUGGCCUGGGGGGUACAGCGCAGACGGGCCUCCUGGUUUAGACCCAUUGAAGGGGAGCGGAAGUGAUCUUUCAGAACAGCAGUACAGUAGUGGUCCCACAUCUCAGGAUUACCCUUCAUCCUACAGCACCCAACACCUGCUGCCUAAACCAUCCUAUCUUCCGUCGCCAGCAUUUGCCUUGCCGUCUGCAUACCUGCCACCCGCACCAGGCUACGCUUAUUCCCAGCAAUGCGGUCUGAGUGCUAGUUACCCUCACAGCACCCCUUCUCUGCUGCCCUCGGGUCUACACACUCCCACACCUCUCCACAGCAGCCUCACUGCUGCUGAACUCCCACGUAACAGGAAGUUCAGCUUCGACCAGUCCAAAACUGCCAGAGUCUCACCAUACACAAUUAGGGACAAGAAUGAUCAGCAGAACAGCGACAGUGGUGGAAAUGUCAACGAAAUUUGUGGGACGGACCUCCAAAGCUACAGACCCGAUAGACUUUCCACUCAGUCUGAUCUUGAGGCAGAUUCUGUGGGUAAAACCAGUCACCUACGGCCUCUUGAGACACGGUCUUAUGGAGGUCCGGGACAGUACACAUAUCCCUGAGUCUACUGAGUCUACUUGAUGUAGUGAAACAAUCCUUUUAUAUAUAUAUAUAUAUAUAUAUAUAUAUAUAUAUAUAUAUAUACAUAUAUACAUACAUACAUACAUACAUACAUACAUACACGUGUUUAUAGCAAUACUUGAACAUAUCAAACAUCAGGGCAAAUAGCAUUAUGGUAUGAAACCAUUUACGGACUGAGAAGAUAGAUGUCUCUCUUAUGCACAUUAUCAUUAUUUCUGACUGCAGCUUUAAUGAGACCUGUAGCACAGACACUCUUUUGUAUCCCUGAAAUCACACUUUUUUUUAUUCUCUUCCUUUCCUCUUUUACUCUCUCUCUCUAUAAUUAUGUUGUGCAGUGAAGCACAUUAUGGUGGCAAGUACUAAUCAACUGCUUCAAUUAAUGAAAUCCAAGCUAAAGAAAGACUGAAAGAGAGGAAUUGAAAAGAAAAGUACACAAAAAUGAGCCUGUAUUGUAAGUCAAAGCACACAUAUGAAAGUUUCAUAUGUCAUGUGUAAUGUAAGGUUUUUAUACAUUUUGUUAGUGAGCAUGUCUGUGUAAGGUCAUGGAUGUUCUUCAACACUGAAAUCAGAUAAAAACACUCUUUAUUUUAGGAAUAUUAUGUAAGGUUCCUCUAUAAACUUUGAAUGUAAAGCUGAUUUCCCUCAGGAAUUGUGAAUGAAGCCAUACUUAAUGUUUAUCUUAUACAAUUUUUGAGUUUGAAAGAUGUUUUUGUGUUUUAUUGUCUAAUUAGUGUAGUAUCUUUGCCAUGUCCUUCAUUAAAAAAAAAAAAAAAAAAAGUAUUUGUGACAUUACAUACAGUAUUUCAUUCAUAAAAAUGCACAUUUUUACAGAACAAAUAUAUCUGGCUUUCACAGGGCUAUUGCAAAAAGGCUCAAAGGCUUUUUGCAGUCUUUUCCACUAUUCACCUAUUGUGACAUUUACUAUGGAAACCCACAGAGCUCUCUCAGCCCCCUGAGUUGAUCACUGGAUGUGUUUUCCUCUGACCCUCUGACCCUUCUCUGUUUUAAAUGAGGCAUGUGAAAGAAUAGAGAGCUUUUGUUAUGGUGAGGCAAAUGGGACAUACACUGAAAUGUACAAACCGAAAUGAAAAUGACAGACUGGUUAAUAUUUAAAUGUACAUUUUAUGUUACUUUAACACUUGCAAUAUGCUGGAAAAAAUAAUAUGACUUAAUACAUGUACAAUCUACCUCACUGUUACAAUGCUGUUUGUUCAGAGUACGCAUUUGUGUAUUACAUGUCAAAAUGUCUACCUCAAGGAAAAA